UACGUAGGUGGCAAGCGUUAUCCGGAUUUACUGGGUGUAAAGGGAGCGUAGACGGACUUGCAAGUCUGAUGUGAAAAUCCGGGGCCCAACCCCGGAACUGCAUUGGAAACUGUAUAUCUAGAGUGUCGGAGAGGCAAGUGGAAUUCCUGGUGUAGCGGUGAAAUGCGUAGAUAUCAGGAGGAACACCAGUGGCGAAGGCGGCUUGCUGGACGAUGACUGACGUUGAGGCUCGAAAGCGUGGGGAGCAAACAGG
RNAcentral lists this ribosomal RNA (253 nucleotides) under uncultured bacterium. RNAcentral's name for it is "partial 16S ribosomal RNA". It matches the Rfam family "Bacterial small subunit ribosomal RNA", at positions 524 to 776 of the family's 1533-position model. The record is from RNAcentral.